Molecule: RNA transcript, 3233 nt
Organism: Hippocampus comes (tiger tail seahorse)
Lineage: Eukaryota; Metazoa; Chordata; Actinopteri; Syngnathiformes; Syngnathidae
Gene: rapgef4a
Gene name: Rap guanine nucleotide exchange factor 4a
Exons: 28
Source: RefSeq, a predicted model, not a curated record
GUUCUUGUCAACCAAAACAAGAAUUCAAGUUCAUUCUUCUCUUACGACAUGAAUAGCGUGCAAUGCACGAGUUUAUACUUUAAACUGCGUAUGAGGCGUCUGUUGAUUCGACUCGUGUUGCCGCUCUGAAUUGGUUUCCUGAGCGAGACAGCCCAUUUCCUUUGGGACGAAGGGCAUUAAAUUGGAGGCUGUACUCAGGCUGCACUUGUAGGCCUGAAUUCAGAUGGAUGUGUGGCGUCUUGCGUGGAAAUAACCUGCCAUCACCUAAGCAAGAAGUUUCAUCAGCACAUGGCGGGAGUCCUCGUCCCCCCCUAUAGUGUGAUGGAGGCUGGUGCCGACAGAACGCCGGACAACGAGAACAUAAGUAACAACUCGUUUGCUUCUCCAACCGAAAAUCCCAAAAAGGUGCCUUCUGGAAAGAUCCUGCGCGCGGGGAAGGUUCUCCGUAACGCCAUCCUCUCCAGAGCGCCUCAUAUGAUCCGAGACAGAAAGUACCAUCUGAAAACAUACAGGCAGUGUUGUGUGGGAACGGAGAUGGUCGACUGGCAGAUGCAGCACAGCUCCUGUGUGCGCUCUCGCCUUCAAGCUGUGGCCAUGUGGCAGGUGCUUAUGGAGGAAGGCGUUCUUUGCCACGUGGACCGGGAGCCAAGCUUCCAGGACAAAUACCUUUUCUACCGCUUCCUGGACGAUGAAGAAGAGGAGACGUCUUUACCCGACGAGGAGGAGAGGAGGCAGAGCCAAGACGAGCUGCAGGAUACUUUGGUACUCCUUUCGCAGAUGGGGCCUGACGCCUACAUGAGGAUGAUUCUGAGGAAGCGGCCAUCUGAGAGAACAGAAGACGAUUUAGAGAUCAUUUGCGAGGAACUGCUCCACAUCAAGGCCUUAGCGCACCUUUCCACCACUGUCAAGAGAGAACUGAUGGGCGUGCUCAUAUUUGAGUCCCAUGCCAAAGCAGGAACAGUGUUGUUCAGCCAAGGCGAAGAGGGUACCUCAUGGUACAUCAUCCUAAAGGGCUCGGUCAACGUGGUCAUCUAUGGAAAAGGUGUUGUUUGUACACUUCAUGAGGGAGAUGACUUUGGGAAGCUUGCUCUUGUCAACGAUGCCCCCCGCGCUGCUUCCAUUGUCUUGAGAGAGGACAACUGUCACUUCCUGAGAGUGGACAAGGAGGACUUCAACAGGAUUUUGAGGGACGUAGAGGCCAACACAGUGCGCCUGAAAGAGCACGGUCAAGACGUCCUGGUGUUAGAGAAGAGUCUCAGUAGCUGUCGAUCCGACAACCAUGGAGCCUCAACCUCCCAUUACAAGUACAAGGUCAUGUCAGGGACACCAGAGAAAAUUUUGGAGCACCUGCUUGAGAUGAUGCGAAUGGAUUCUCAGUUUUCAGCAUCAGAUGCUGCCUUAGAUGAUUUUGUGCUCAUGCACUGCGUCUUCAUGCCAAACAUUCAACUUUGUCCAGUGUUGAUGGCUCACUACCAUGCCCAGGCCUCACCGGGCUCCGAACAGGAGAAGCUGGACUACGCGCUCAACAACAAGCGUCGUGUGAUCCGCCUGGUCGUGCGGUGGGCCACCUUGCAUGGUGAUCAGUUGCAAGAGGAAGACACCUCAGUGGUCUUCCUGGAGGAUUUUCUUUCGGCUGUAUCUAAUGACGCUGAAUCACUUCCACCACUCAGUGAGCAACUACCAGAACUGGAAAAAAUUGUCAAGCACAACACUGAUGAUGCCAGAAGCUCACACAGAAAGCACAUCGUCCUACUCGAGCAGUUCAAUAGGGGAGAUGACGAGAUGCAAAAGUGUCAACCUAUUAAGAGCAACGAUGAAAUUCUGUUCAAAGUCUUUUGCUGUGACCACACUUACAUCACCAUCCGAGCGCUUGUUUCCGCCUCGGUCGGAGAGGUCCUGCAUGCCGUGGCCGACAAGAUGGGCUCAGUGGAGGACCUCCUGUUGGUCCGUCUCAGCUCGGCUGGAGAUAAAGUCGUGUUCGAACACACUGAUGUGUCCGUGUUCUCCACUCUUACCAUCAAUGGGCGUCUCUUUGCCUGCUUCAAGGAUCAGCUGGAUUCUUUGACCCCCCUGCCGGAGCAGGAGGGUCCAUCUGCAGGCUCUUUGUCGAGUUUUGAGUGGAUGAGCACCAAGGAUGUUGCUUACCAUUUGACGCGAUAUGACUGGGAGCUUUUCAACUGUGUUCAUGAGCUUGAACUGAUCUACCACAUCUUUGGGAGGCAAAACGUGAAGAAAAGCACAGUGAACCUGGACCUGUUCCUAAAGAGGUUCAAUGAAAUUCAGUUUUGGGUGAUCACGGAGGUCUGCCUGUGCCCGCAGCUCAGCAAGAGGGUGCAGCUGCUCAAAAAGUUCAUCAAGAUUGCAUCCCACUGCAAGGAACACAGGAACUUGAAUGCCUUCUUUGCUAUUGUCAUGGGGCUGAGCAACCCAGCGGUCAGCAGGCUGAAUCAGACCUGGGAGAAACUUCCUAGCAAAUUCAAGAAGUUCUAUGGAGAAUUUGAAAACUUGAUGGACCCAUCCAGGAACCAUCGAGUGUACCGACUGAUGGUUGCCAAACUUGAACCUCCCAUCAUCCCUUUCAUGCCGCUGUUGAUCAAAGAUAUGACAUUCACUCACGAGGGCAACAAGACAUUUAUUGAAAAUUUGGUCAAUUUUGAGAAAAUGCGGAUGAUCGCAAAUACAGUGAAGAUUGUGAGGUAUUGUAGGAGUCAGCCAUUCAGUCCCGAGUCACCGCUGGUGAACAAGUGCCACCCCGACGUGCGGCGCUAUGUGCGUCACUUCAGCGUGAUCGACAACCAAAGAACGCUGACCCGGCUCUCUCAUGGACUCGAACCUCGCAGAUCUUGAUACCCAUCAGGGAAGGCUGCGUUACACGGCAGCUUCACCGCUGCUCUCGCUUUAACUCCCAACACAGACAAUCACUUGGGGGGGGACGUAAUCAGAGAUAAUGAGAUGCUGUUUACAAAUAUUGAUGUUUGCACUGCUGUAUAUUUGCACCACAGCACGCAUUCUCAGCAAGUAAAAGUGUUGCUCAGAGAGAAGAAGAAUUCAGGAAAGCAGGUAAACAUUUCUCUGGUACCUGAUGUUAUUAUUAUUAUCUAAUAUUUCAGGUCUAAACAGCAGUAUGUGUUGCGUUAAAUGUCUCAAUAUUCGUGAUAUCAUUUUAUCUAUUUGUAUCAAAUAUUUAUACAUAUUUGUGAGCUUGUUCUGUGCUGUAAAUUAUACAUAAAUAU